AGGACUAACGCUGGCGGCGUGCCUAACACAUGCAAGUCGAACGAGAGUAGCAAUACUCUAGUGGCAGACGGGUGAGUAACACGUGGUCAACCUACCUUUAAGUGGGGGAUAACUAGCCGAAAGGUUAGCUAAUACCGCAUACGUCUCCGAGGGGCAUCCCUUGGUGAUAAAAGGAGCAAUCCGCUCGAUGACGGGACCGCGUCCCAUUAGCUAGUUGGUAGGGUAACGGCCUACCAAGGCAUCGAUGGGUAGCUGGUUUGAGAGAGCGACCAGCCACACUGGGACUGAGAUACGGCCCAGACUCCUACGGGAGGCAGCAGUGAGGAAUUUUCCGCAAUGGGCGAAAGCCUGACGGAGCGACGCCGCGUGUGGGAAGAAGGCCUUCGGGUCGUAAACCACUGUCGAAGGGGAAGAUAAUGACGGUACCCUUGGAGGAAGCCCCGGCUAACUACGUGCCAGCAGCCGC
Molecule: ribosomal RNA, 466 nt
Filed under: uncultured bacterium
Lineage: Bacteria
Description: SSU rRNA
Rfam family: Bacterial small subunit ribosomal RNA
Source: RNAcentral